GAUGAACGCUGGCGGCGUGCCUAAUACAUGCAAGUCGAGCGAACGGACGAGAAGCUUGCUUCUCUGAUGUUAGCGGCGGACGGGUGAGUAACACGUGGAUAACCUACCUAUAAGACUGGGAUAAUUUCGGGAAACCGGAGCUAAUACCGGAUAAUAUUUUGAACCGCAUGGUUCAAAAGUGAAAGACGGUCUUGCUGUCACUUAUAGAUGGAUCCGCGCUGCAUUAACUAGUUGGUAAGGUAACGGCUUACCAAGGCAACGAUGCAUAGCCGACCUGAGAGGGUGAUCGGCCACACUGGAACUGAGACACGGUCCAGACUCCUACGGGAGGCAGCAGUAGGGAAUCUUCCGCAAUGGGCGAAAGCCUGACGGAGCAACGCCGCGUGAGUGAUGAAGGUCUUCGGAUCGUAAAACUCUGUUAUUAGGGAAGAACAUAUGUGUAAGUAACUGUGCACAUCUUGACGGUACCUAAUCAGAAAGCCACGGCUAACUACGUG
This 497-nucleotide ribosomal RNA is filed under the name uncultured bacterium. RNAcentral's name for it is "partial 16S ribosomal RNA". It matches the Rfam family "Bacterial small subunit ribosomal RNA", at positions 28 to 507 of the family's 1533-position model. The record is from RNAcentral.